Molecule: ribosomal RNA, 253 nt
Filed under: uncultured bacterium
Lineage: Bacteria
Description: partial 16S ribosomal RNA
Rfam family: Bacterial small subunit ribosomal RNA
Source: RNAcentral
UACGUAGGGAGCAAGCGUUGUCCGGAAUCAUUGGGCGUAAAGGGCGCGUAGGCGGCACUGUUAGUCAGUCGUGAAAUUCCUGGGCUCAACCUGGGGACUGCGCUUGAUACGGCAGAGCUUGAGGAUGGAAGAGGGUCGCGGAAUUCCCAGUGUAGAGGUGAAAUUCGUAGAUAUUGGGAAGAACACCGGUGGCGAAGGCGGCGAGCUGGUCCAGUACUGACGCUGAGGCGCGACAGCGUGGGGAGCAAACAGG